UGGGGGAUAUUGCGCAAUGGGCGAAAGCCUGACGCAGCGACGCCGCGUGGGUGAUGAAGGCCUUCGGGUCGUAAAGCCCUGUCGAGGGGAACGAAACGACUUCGACCCAACACGUCGAGGUCCUGACGGUACCCCUAAAGGAAGCACCGGCUAACUCCGUGCCAGCAGCCGCGGUAAUACGGAGGGUGCAAGCGUUGUUCGGAAUCACUGGGCGUAAAGGGCGUGUAGGCGGUCCGCUAAGUCUGAUGUGAAAGUCCGGGGCUCACCCCCGGAAGGGCAUUGGAAACUGGCGGACUCGAGUCCCGGAGAGGAGGGUGGAAUUCCUGGUGUAGCGGUGAAAUGCGUAGAUAUCAGGAGGAACACCGGUGGCGAAGGCGGCCCUCUGGACGGUGACUGACGCUGAGACGCGAAAGCGUGGGGAGCAAACAGGAUUAGAUACCCCGGUAGUCCUAGCCCUAAACGAUGAAUACUUGGUGUGGCGGGUAUCGAUCCCUGCCGUGCCGAGCUAACGCAUUAAGUAUU
RNAcentral lists this ribosomal RNA (522 nucleotides) under uncultured Pseudomonadota bacterium. Its description in RNAcentral is "bacterial SSU rRNA". It matches the Rfam family "Bacterial small subunit ribosomal RNA", at positions 355 to 868 of the family's 1533-position model. Lineage: Bacteria; Pseudomonadati; Pseudomonadota. The record is from RNAcentral.